Sarcophilus harrisii (Tasmanian devil) is the source of this 101-nucleotide small nuclear RNA. Lineage: Eukaryota; Metazoa; Chordata; Mammalia; Dasyuromorphia; Dasyuridae. The record is from Ensembl.
CCAUGUAGAAAUGAUCAUUGAAAUGCUUGCUUUGGAAUCACAUAGAUUAGCAUGGCCCCUGCACAAGGAUUACAUUUAUUUGUGAAACAUUUCAAAUUUUU